AAGAAGCCACUUCGUGAAGGACCGGGCGUUGAAUGAGCGACUGUCCAUUUAGCAGCAUCAUGUGGCCAACGACAGCUACAUCAUUGGUUGGGAAACAGUUGCAUUUAGCAGGUUCAUGUGGCCUUCAAAUGUCUAUAACUACGCAGAUAAGCAAUCAAAUUGCAUAUGCUUACCAUAGAGGUCACCCAUGAGGCCAUAGUUGGCUUCAAAAUCUUGGACUGUAAGUGAUUCCUAGUUUGAGAGUGGAGCACGAUUAGAUGAGAUGAAACCUUGCAUGACAGUGUUCUGUUCGAAAAGAAACCAGUGGAGUGGUUACGAAAUUGGUAAAGAAACGAUGGCUUGCUGGAGAUAUCAGCCGAUUUCAUGGCUAUAUCUUGACUUUGUUGUAUGGAGGACGUAGAUCAUUGAUGAAAGCUUUGAUGUAAGGUUUAUAUAAGAACAGAAAAAAAGGGAGGUAGAAAGCUUCGAUGAAUGAAGGUAACAUCUCUUAUUAAAAAAAGGUUUAAAGAACAUAAUUGAAUGUGAGUAAGUAACAGAAACGUUGGAUUGCAGAAGUCGGAAACGAUGAUCGUGAAGUUGAAGAGGCGGAGACGACUUAUUUGGAAGGAGGUUUGGGCUAGUUAAAGAUGGACCAUGUCUUUUUAAUAUUGCUUCACCUGAAUUGGCCUGUUAAAACUACUUUCGAG
Molecule: long non-coding RNA, 686 nt
Filed under: Brassica napus (rape)
Lineage: Eukaryota; Viridiplantae; Streptophyta; Magnoliopsida; Brassicales; Brassicaceae
Description: long non-coding RNA (BNAP_LNC018652)
Source: RNAcentral